UAAUACGGAGGAUGCAAGCGUUAUCCGGAAUUAUUGGGCGUAAAGCGUCCGCAGGUGGUUUUACAAGUCUGCUGUCAAAGCGUGGAGCUUAACUCCAUAAAGGCAGUGGAAACUGUGAGACUAGAGUUCGGUAGGGGUUACGGGAAUUCCCAGUGUAGCGGUGAAAUGCGUAGAUAUUGGGAAGAACACCAGCGGCGAAAGCGCGUAACUGGGCCUGAACUGACACUGAGGGACGAAAGCUAGGGGAGCGAAAGGGAUUAGAUACCCCUGUAGUCCUAGCCGUAAACGAUGGAAACUAGGUGUUGCCCGUAUCGACCCGGGCAGUGCCGUAGCUAACGCGUUAAGUUUCCCGCCUGGGGAGUACGCACGCAAGUGUG
RNAcentral lists this ribosomal RNA (377 nucleotides) under uncultured bacterium. RNAcentral's name for it is "bacterial SSU rRNA". It matches the Rfam family "Bacterial small subunit ribosomal RNA", at positions 521 to 896 of the family's 1533-position model. The record is from RNAcentral.